This 433-nucleotide ribosomal RNA is filed under the name uncultured bacterium. Its description in RNAcentral is "partial 16S ribosomal RNA". It matches the Rfam family "Bacterial small subunit ribosomal RNA", at positions 29 to 507 of the family's 1533-position model. The record is from RNAcentral.
AACGAACGCUGGCGGCAUGCCUAACACAUGCAAGUCGAACGAGACCUUCGGGUCUAGUGGCGCACGGGUGCGUAACGCGUGGGAACCUGCCCUUAGGUUCGGAAUAACUCCCCGAAAGGGGUGCUAAUACCGGAUAAUGUCUUCGGACCAAAGAUUUAUCGCCUUUGGAUGGGCCCGCGUUGGAUUAGCCAGUUGGUAGGGUAAAAGCCUACCAAGGCGACGAUCCAUAGCUGGUCUGAGAGGAUGAUCAGCCACACUGGGACUGAGACACGGCCCAGACUCCUACGGGAGGCAGCAGUGGGGAAUAUUGGACGAUGGGCGAAAGCCUGAUCCAGCAAUGCCGCGUGAGUGAUGAAGGCCUUAGGGUUGUAAAGCUCUUUUACCCGGGAUGAUAAUGACAGUACCGGGAGAAUAAGCUCCGGCUAACUCCGUG